Molecule: ribosomal RNA, 477 nt
Filed under: uncultured bacterium
Lineage: Bacteria
Description: bacterial SSU rRNA
Rfam family: Bacterial small subunit ribosomal RNA
Source: RNAcentral
GAUGAACGCUAGCGGCAGGCUUAAUACAUGCAAGUCGUGGGGCAGCAUGAGUAGCAAUACUUGAUGGCGACUGGCAAACGGGUGAGGAACACGUACACAACCUUCCUUCAAGCGGGGAAUAGCCCAGAGAAAUUUGGAUUAAUACCCCAUAAUAUAUUUGAUAAGGCAUCUUAUUAAUAUUAAAGCUUCGGCACUUGAUGAUGGGUGUGCGGCUGAUUAGAUAGUUGGCGGGUAACGGCCCACCAAGUCUACGAUCAGUAGCUGAUGUGAGAGCAUGAUCAGCCACACGGGCACUGAGACACGGGCCCGACUCCUACGGGAGGCAGCAGUAAGGAAUAUUGGACAAUGGACGAAAGUCUGAUCCAGCCAUGCCGCGUGAAGGAUUAAGGUCCUCUGGAUUGUAAACUUCUUUAUAUGGGACGAAAAAGGGCAUUCUUGUUCACUUGACGGUACCAUAUGAAUAAGCACCGGCUAACU